This 77-nucleotide non-coding RNA is filed under the name Triticum aestivum (bread wheat). RNAcentral describes it as "Bacterial small subunit ribosomal RNA". It matches the Rfam family "Bacterial small subunit ribosomal RNA", at positions 655 to 731 of the family's 1533-position model. Lineage: Eukaryota; Viridiplantae; Streptophyta; Magnoliopsida; Poales; Poaceae. The record is from Rfam by way of RNAcentral.
AGGAGAGUGGAAUUUCGUGUGUAGGGGUGAAAUCCGUAGAUCUACGAAGGAACGCCAAAAGCGAAGGCAGCUCUCUG